RNAcentral lists this ribosomal RNA (772 nucleotides) under uncultured bacterium. Its description in RNAcentral is "bacterial SSU rRNA". It matches the Rfam family "Bacterial small subunit ribosomal RNA", at positions 616 to 1389 of the family's 1533-position model. The record is from RNAcentral.
GGGAACUGCGUUNUGAACUGGGUGACUAGAGUGUGUCAGAGGGAGGUAGAAUUCCACGUGUAGCAGUGAAAUGCGUAGAGAUGUGGAGGAAUACCGAUGGCGAAGGCAGCNUCCUGGGAUAACACUGACGUUCAUGCCCGAAAGCGUGGGUAGCAAACAGGAUUAGAUACCCUGGUAGUCCACGCCCUAAACGAUGUCGAUUAGCUGUUGGGCAGCAUGACUGCUUAGUAGCGAAGCUAACGUGUGAAAUCGACCGCCUGGGGAGUACGGUCGCAAGAUUAAAACUCAAAGGAAUUGACGGGGACCCGCACAAGCGGUGGAUGAUGUGGAUUAAUUCGAUGCAACGCGAAGAACCUUACCUGGUCUUGACAUGUACGGAACCCUCCAGAGACGGAGGGGUGCCUUCGGGAGCCGUAACACAGGUGCUGCAUGGCUGUCGUCAGCUCGUGUCGUGAGAUGUUGGGUUAAGUCCCGCAACGAGCGCAACCCUUGUCAUUAGUUGCCAUCAUUAAGUUGGGCACUCUAAUGAGACUGCCGGUGACAAGCCGGAGGAAGGUGGGGAUGACGUCAAGUCCUCAUGGCCCUUAUGACCAGGGCUUCACACGUCAUACAAUGGUCGGUACAGAGGGUAGCCAAGCCGCGAGGUGGAGCCAAUCUCACAAAACCGAUCGUAGUCCGGAUUGCACUCUGCAACUCGAGUGCAUGAAGUCGGAAUCGCUAGUAAUCGCAGGUCAGCAUACUGCGGUGAAUACGUUCCCGGGUCUUGUACACA